This 4787-nucleotide long non-coding RNA is filed under the name Zostera marina. RNAcentral's name for it is "long non-coding RNA (ZMAR_LNC004370)". The record is from RNAcentral. Lineage: Eukaryota; Viridiplantae; Streptophyta; Magnoliopsida; Alismatales; Zosteraceae.
GUCCCGGUGAGGCUUAUCCUCCUCCUCCUCCACCGCCAUCUAAAGUCAUGGAGCCAGUAACUGCUUAUCCGAUGAGCAACGCUCCUUAUCCUCCUCCUCCUUCAGUACCAUAUGGUAAUUCAUAUGGAUAUGAUAUGCCUCAACAGCAGGUACAUACGGGUUAUCCGCCUGUUCAACCACAACCUCCACUAUAUGGAGGAUACGCACCAGGCCCUCUACCAUACGGCCAACAGGCAUAUGGAGGUACAAGUGCAGGUUACGGUGCAGCUGGAGCUGCUUAUCCAGCACCGGGAGGUUAUGGGUACAACGGUUAUGCCCCUCCUCCUCCUCCGCCUGUACAAAAACCCCCAAAGAAGAACAAACUUGGGUUGGGAUUGGGAUUGGGUGCGGGUUUGUUGGGUGGAUUGCUGGUCGGUGAUGCUAUCGGAGAUAUUUCUUCAUCGGGUUAUGAAGACGGUUACGAUGCUGGAUUCGACGAUGGAGGCGGUUUCGACUUUUGAUCGUAUAGUGAUGAAGUCAUUGAAUUAUUAGUUUAUGAGCUAUGAUUAGCUUAAUAGACGUGAUUAGCGUACACAACAAAACUUGAAUUUGCUUUAUUUAAUUUAAUUAUUCACUGUUGUACUGUUAAUCUGUGUUUAUAAUAUAUAAUAUAAGACAGACAUUAGCUACUGUAAUUGUGACAAUUAUAUGAGAAUUAAUAAUCUUGACCCUGAAAACCAGUUUAAUUACUGUACUUGUCACAUUAUUAUUGACCAUAAUCUAUUUUAAGAAAUGUAUGUAAGGGUGAAAACUGAGCUGGUCGCCCCCGUGCCCUGGAGAGAUGGUUAAAGAAAGAAAGUAAUUUGUACAUAUCACAAAUUAAAAAUCGAUUAUUGGAACAUGGUUAUAAAAACAAAUUAAAACUCAUUUCUUAAUUGCAAGGGUUGGUGCUAACUCCGUCAUGAAAUCUCGACAACUGCCUGACGCCCAGACUUGGGACAUGUAAAACUUGCACAACUCAACUGCCCACUUUGUCAGCCUCUCUGAGACACCUGGUUUAUGAAGUAGUUGCAGUAACGGGUAUUCUGUCGGGAUAAUGACUUGGUGGGCCUAGAAAUAAGGUUUCAGUCUCCCCACGACUGACACCACAGCUAAGGCCAAUUUUUUGAUUUGUGGGUCUCUUGCCUCGGCACCCUGUAGGGAGCACGAGUGGUAGUAGACCAGUCUUUGCAUUCCCUCCCUUUCUGAUAUCAAGACUGUACUGACGGCCGUGUUUAACGCGGCCACAUACGGUGUGAGAGGUUCUCACGGGACCGGUGGUUGCAAGGUAGGUAGGCGUGUGAGUUGUUCCUUUAGGAGUCCAAAUGCCUUGUCGCAUUCGUCCAUCCACAGGUCCUUGAACGAGUGGAGACUCCCCACGAUGAGCUCCCAGUUAGCUUUACAACAAAAAUUCGGUAUUCGACGAACUAUUCGGUUCGUUUCGAGAUCGAUUCGAUUAUUAAACGAACCGAACCAGAACCUUUAAAAUAGAUUCGUUUAAUUAAACGAACCGAACCCAAACCUUAUAUUUUAUUAUUUUAUAUUUAUAUUAGAAACUUAUAUUAUAUUAUAUUAUAUAAUUAUAAUUUUAUAUUAUAUAUUAUAUAUUUUUACAAUGGUUUUUAAUCAACAAGAAGAAAAGAUGAGAUUGGCUCAAUAAAAGAAAAUAAACUAUAAACAAUGUUUUUUUUUAUUGUUUUUUUUUUAAAAAUGGUCAGAUUGACAUGUUUAUUUUUUUUAAUGUUUAUUUUUAGGAUAAAAAAAGUUCAGUGUUCGAUGAACUAUUCGGUUUGGAUUCGGGUUCGGUUAGAUUCGGUUCGGUUAUUAAACGAACCGAACCCAAACCCAAUAGUAGGCUCGUUUAUUUAGUAUUUGCUUUGGUUCGGUAGGUUCGAGUUGCAACGCUACUCCCAGUACCACCUCACAACUUAUCCUUUAAGCGUUCUUCUGAACAUACGGCACCAGAUGUCCUUUUGUCCUGUCGUAUCCUCCAUACCUGUACGGAACAAAUACAGAUGGUCUCCCAGGUCGGUGACCCCCUUGUACAUUGCCAACUUUGGGGCCAUCCAUCACACCGGAUAUCCUUCCAUCAAGCCAUGCGGGCGGCGCUUCGUCCCCCCCUUUUGACUCCAUGGUAUUCCUGACCAUGGAUAACUUCAUGAUUUGUCUUACAGUUGCCUCUAACUGUUUUGAAGUUCCAAGAUGACCGACAACAUCUAGUCAUCCCUUCUCUCCCGCCGCAGAUCACGACGUUCCUCUUCUCGCUGAUACCUUUCUUGGCAUUCCUGACGUCUCUCAGACGUACAUGAUCUUGACCUACCAUGCCUAAUCGAGCUAGGGCGGUCGUCUGUGUGUACCGGUGUAGGGGAUCUGUUGGCGGGACGUAACCUCCUGCCUCUUUCGCGUUGGUAAGAUCGGUAUGAUUCCUUUCCCAACCCUUCCUUCGCUUGGUCUCUCCUCUCUGGGGUAACGUCCCCUCAAACGACGAGUAACUAGACUUGACGCUGAGUCGCUUGCUCCACCUCCAACCCAAAGUCUUCCUCUGUCUGUACCACGCGCUCCUGGUGAAUCCAUCCAGUUAACGUGAAAUUGCAUCAUAUCAGGUUCACCACUGAUGACUUGGUAUCAAAUGUGAUACCAAACAAUCUCUCUAUAGUAAUGUAUUUCGUACAAAUAAAUCACCCCCUCCUCAAGUUUAACCCUUAGGGGUAUUUAUACAAUUUCCUAUUAGGCUUGACACACUAUUGGAUCAGGGCCAGUGGGCCAGACCGGGGUCAGUGGAUCUGGUCUGAUGAACCAGAAUCAUCACAAAACAUAAAAUACAAAAACAUUACAAAAUAAAGAACUUAGGAAGAUUACAUUACCUCAUAGGAAUUGAAAUAGCUCACUCAGACCAAGGUAUUUUCUUAUCACAAAGAAAAUACACAUUGGAUUUUUUUUAAUGAGAAUGGACUAUUGAUUGGAGAAAUGAUAAAAUUAAGGCUGUAAUUGAUCCAUUUAUCUAUAGGAGAUUGAUUGGAAGAUUAAUGUAUUUAAACAUUAUUAGGCCAGACAUUACAUAUACUGUAAGGACACUGAGCCAAUUCAAUUGCAUCGGGCCGGAUGCAGUGUACAAACAGCUAAAAUAUUUAAAACAAUCUCCUGGACAGGGAAUAAUGAUACAUAAGGACAAGCCACGAGAGCUUAAAGCAUAUUUGAUUAAGAUUGAGGUUCAUGCAUUCUAACAAGAAAAUCAAUGACUAGGUUUUGUGUUUUCUUAUGUGAUAGUUUAAUUUCAUGAAAAUCAACGAAACAGAAAACAAUCUCUCUAUCCUCAGAUGAGGGAGAGUACAAAGCCAUGUCAUCAACAAUUAGAGAAGUAGUAUGACUAAGACAAUCACUCUUAGAAAUGAGCAUCAAUUAUCAAAGGCAACUAUAAUCAUCAUGUGUGAUAACAAAUCAAUAAUGUAUAUAGUCGAUAAUCAGUCUUCCAUGACAUUUCACAAGAAAAUAGUUAGUAACAAAGGAAAUUUCUCUAAAAUAUGUCGAAAUAAAGAAUCAGGUAGUUGACACCUUCACUAAAUGUGUUGGAGAAACACAAAUGUUUGAAGUAUCAGUAAAAUUAGGCAUUAAGGACCUUUCAAUUCUUUCAUCCCCAAUUCUGUUCGAAAUGGACCUGUAAUAUAUUAUAUAAUUUUGAUAUGUUACUGUUAUACAAAAUUAAGAAAAUCAGCCUAAGUAAUUUAAUAGUCUACCUUUAUUUACAUUAUUUUAUUGACGUUUAAAAAGAGAAUUUUGGAAAUUAAAAUAUUUACUGAGGUUGGGUUACCCUCCUAGAACGAUAAAAUCGGACAAUUAAUUUAAUUUCCCCGAAAGCUCAUUGCAAAAUCGAUUCGUGGUACGUAUAGACUCGCAAAAUCCGAUGUAGAUAGAUAGUUAAUAUUUCUAUAGUCAACUUUAAUCGUGUCCACAAAUUGAACAUUUACACAAAACACCUUUGAUUAUUAUUUCUAUACAUAUAUAGAAUUUUCACACACUAUCAUCCUGUAUAAAUACUCCGAUCUCUCUCCCUUACUCUGAAUCCUCAAAUUAAUUUGCAGCCAUGGCAAUGUCUAAGACCACCACCAAAAGUCACAGACAAUUAGAUCUCACUCUCAUCUCCGCCAGAGAUUUAAAGGACGUCAAUAUUAUCUCCAAAAUGGACGUUUACGCCUUCAUUUCACUCUCCGACGAUGCUGCCGGAAAUUGCCAACGCACUCCUAUCUGCACGGACUGCGGGACAAACCCUAACUGGAACUUUUCGAUGCGAUUCAUCGUACCUAAUUCCGUACCAGAACACAAACAAACUCUACGCGUUCAGGUCCGCUCCCAAUGUGUUCUCGGCGAUCGUCAUGUCGGCGAGGUUGUUAUCCCGAUCGAUGACUUCGAAUCAGAUCGCGACGUCAAGUAUGCGACUUAUCAGGUUAUGAACAGUUCCGGCAAGUCCAUGGGGGUUCUCAACAUCUCCUAUCAAUUAGGAGACUCCACAUCUUCAUCCGCCGCACAGCCGGUACAUGCUCAUCAGAUGUGUUCAUGUGGUACGAGUCGUCCUGGUAAGGCUUAUCCUCCUCCACCACCGCCAUCUAAACCCGUGGAGCCAGUGACUGUUUAUCCGAUGAGCAACGUUCCUUAUCCUGCUCAACCACAGCAUCCGGCGUACGGAGGAUACGUACCAGGCCCCCCACCAUACGGCCAAAAGGUAUAUGGAGGUUAUGCUCCUCCUCCUCCACCUGUGCAAAAACCGCCGAAGA